Molecule: ribosomal RNA, 431 nt
Filed under: uncultured bacterium
Lineage: Bacteria
Description: bacterial SSU rRNA
Rfam family: Bacterial small subunit ribosomal RNA
Source: RNAcentral
GUAGGGAAUCUUCCGCAAUGGACGAAAGUCUGACGGAGCAACGCCGCGUGAACGAUGAAGGCCUUCGGGUCGUAAAGUUCUGUUGUUAGGGAAGAACAAGUACCGUUCAAAUAGGGCGGUACCUUGACGGUACCUAACCAGAAAGCCACGGCUAACUACGUGCCAGCAGCCGCGGUAAUACGUAGGUGGCAAGCGUUGUCCGGAAUUAUUGGGCGUAAAGCGCGCGCAGGCGGUCUCUUAAGUCUGAUGUGAAAUCUCGCGGCUCAACCGCGAGCGGCCAUUGGAAACUGGGAGGCUUGAGUGCAGAAGAGGAGAGUGGAAUUCCAUGUGUAGCGGUGAAAUGCGUAGAUAUAUGGAGGAACACCAGUGGCGAAGGCGACUCUCUGGUCUGUAACUGACGCUGAGGCGCGAAAGCGUGGGGAGCAAACAGG